UUGAGAUCCUGCUACCUCCAGAUAUUCAUGCCAGGCAUAUCUGAUUGAUGAUGCACGCAGCUCUGGAAGCUUUCUGCAUCAAGUCUGCACACUUUCCAUUAAAGCUUCUCUGUAGUAUGCGUGGAGACCACAGGACAGAACGUGGUGAAAUGUGAUGUGGAUGGAUAAGCUGCAUGGUAUCCCACCUACCUCCAGCUGAUGCUGCAGAAGAUCUCUUGUUUUCUGGCAAUCCCUUGACACUAACUGGAGGCUGCAGCCUGAUUUGAGGAACCUCUUUUUUCUACAUUUUGGAGAAAACCAAUGGAAUAAACAAGUAAAAACACAGAUGUUCAUCAAGGCAACAGAGAAAAGACAAAGAGCACAAAAGCCUCUAGGACCUGUUGGGAUGUACUUCCACUUGCAUGCUGCUAACACGGACUUUUCAAGUUCUGCUGGCUACUUGGGUGAUUUUCUAAAUUUCAGAUGACCCUCCACAUCCAACUAAAAUGGUA
This 491-nucleotide long non-coding RNA is filed under the name Gallus gallus (chicken). Its description in RNAcentral is "lncRNA (ENSGALG00010027556.1)". The record is from RNAcentral. Lineage: Eukaryota; Metazoa; Chordata; Aves; Galliformes; Phasianidae.